AGAUUGAACGCUGGCGGCAUGCCUUACACAUGCAAGUCGAACGGUAACGCGGGGCAACCUGGCGACGAGUGGCGAACGGGUGAGUAAUGCAUCGGAACGUGCCCAGUAGUGGGGGAUAGCCCGGCGAAAGCCGGAUUAAUACCGCAUACGACCUAUGGGUGAAAGCGGGGGACCGUAAGGCCUCGCGCUAUUGGUGCGGCCGAUGUCAGAUUAGGUUGUUGGUGGGUAAAAGCCUACCAAGCCGACGAUCUGUAGCUGGUCUGAGAGGACGACCAGCCACACUGGGACUGAGACACGGCCCAGACUCCUACGGGAGGCAGCAGUGGGAAUUUGGACAAUGGGCGAAAGCCUGAUCCAGCAAUGCCGCGUGCGGAAGAAGGCCUUCGGGUGUAAACCGCUUUGUCAGGAAGAACGCUCUGAGCUAAUACCUCGGGUAAUGACGGUACUGAAGAAUAAGCACCGGCUAACGUACGUGACCAGCAGCCGC
RNAcentral lists this ribosomal RNA (487 nucleotides) under uncultured soil bacterium. RNAcentral describes it as "bacterial SSU rRNA". It matches the Rfam family "Bacterial small subunit ribosomal RNA", at positions 26 to 518 of the family's 1533-position model. The record is from RNAcentral.